GCCUCAGUGGUGUCAUGGAAAGCACGGCAGACCGGAUAUCUGUAAUUGCGGGUACGAGUCCCGCCUGAUGUU
RNAcentral lists this transfer RNA (72 nucleotides) under Dictyocaulus viviparus (bovine lungworm). It matches the Rfam family "tRNA". From Rfam's summary of the family: Transfer RNA (tRNA) molecules are approximately 80 nucleotides in length. Their secondary structure includes four short double-helical elements and three loops (D, anti-codon, and T loops). Lineage: Eukaryota; Metazoa; Nematoda; Chromadorea; Rhabditida; Metastrongylidae. The record is from Rfam by way of RNAcentral.